GAGUAAAGAUUUCGGUCGCUUUGGGAGGAGCUCGCUUACUAUCAGCUUGUUGGUAGGGUAAUGGCCUACCAAGGCUAUGACGGUUAGGGGGUGUGAGAGCAUGACCCCCAGCAUUGGCACUGAAACACUGGCCAAACACCUACGGGUGGCUGCAGUCGAGAAUCUUCCACAAUGGGGGAAACCCUGAUGGAGCGAUGCUGCGUGCGGGAUGAAGGCCUUCGGGUUGUAAACCGCUUUUGUAGGGGACGAAAUUUUUGACGGUACCCUUUCGAAUAAGAGGUUGCUAACUCCGUGCCAGCAGCAGCGGUAAUACAGAGACCUCAAGCGUUAUCCGGAUUUACUGGGCGUAAAGCGUCUGUAGGGGGUUUAUUAAGUUCCAAGUAAAAUUUCAAGGCUCAACUUUGAAUUCGCUUGGAAAACUAAUAAACUGGAGUCUAGCAGAGGUGCAUGGAACUUGUGGUGUAGGAGUGAAAUCCGUUGAUAUCACAAGGAACACCAAAGGCGAAGGCAUUGCACUGGGCUAGCACUGACCCUGAGAGACGAAAGCGUGGGGAGCAAAACGGAUUAGAUACCCGUGUAGUCCACGCCCUAAACGAUGAAUGCUAAAUGUUCGGGGAUUCGACCCCCUGGGUGUUACAGCUAACGCGUUAAGCAUUCCGCCUGGGAAGUACGGCCGCAAGGCUAAAACUCAAAGGAAUAGACGGGGAUCCGCACAAGCGGUGGAGCGUCUGGUUUAAUUCGACAGUAAGCGUGGUACCUCACCAGGGUUUGACAUCCCUUGACAGCCUUGGAAACAAGGUUUCCUUCGGGCAAGGUGACAGGUGCUGCAUGGUCGUCGUCAGUUCGUGCCGUGAGGUGUUCCGUUAAGUCGGGAAACGAACGAAACCCCUAUUGCAUGUUACAAUUUCUCAUGCAAGACUGCCCGGAUAUACUGGGAGGAAGGUGGGGAUGACGUCAGAUCUGCAUGGUCCUUAUACCCUGGGCGACACAGGCGCUACAAUGGCAGAGACAAAGGGUUGCAAAACCGCAAGGUGAAGCUAAUCCCAAAAACUUUGUCUAAGUUCGGAUUGAAGGCCGCAAUUCGCCUUCAUGAAGCUGGAAUCGCUAGUAAUCGUGAAUCAGCCACGUCACGGUGAAUAUGUUCCCGGAUCUUGUACUCACCGCCCGUCACACCAAGAGAGUUGGUAGCUCCCAAAG
Molecule: ribosomal RNA, 1197 nt
Filed under: uncultured organism
Description: bacterial SSU rRNA
Rfam family: Bacterial small subunit ribosomal RNA
Source: RNAcentral